AUUGAAGGUGGCAAGGCCUAGGUAAGAACCAGUCAUCAAUAAGAACCUUAAGCAGUGUUUGUAUGGCCACCUGCCAGGAAACGAGGGGAAUUACAUGCGCCUCUUCAGUUCUGGGAUCUUCAUUGUGACCUGCAUGAUUAUUUCUCAUGUAUACAAUUCCACCCUGAAACGAUCCAAACACUUCAGGGCAGAAAAAAGGAAGCAGAGGGCUGUGUCCCUGGAGAGGUAUAAACAACAAUACAUUCUUACUGUAGAAAACUUGAUAUGAUAGUAUUCCUGCAUUCUAUUCCUGUAUUCUACUCUAUAACUUCAGCACAAAGAUAUUGUGGGGGUCAUGAUCAUGAGUUCUUUAAUUUAAUUAAAAUUUUAAAUGAUUAAUUUAUUACCUUCAUACAUUUUAAAUUUAAUUAAUUUUUGGGAGAGCUAAGGGCACAUGUGGACAGGCACCUUAAGGGCACCUUUAGGGUCUUCUCGGAAAAGUUAGCAGUUGACCAGUUGAUCCUCAGUGUUUAAUUAACGUUUAAUGAUACCCUUGUCGCCAUGUUGUCAGUCGGUGACAGCGAGGGAGGUUCAGAAGACAAGUGAGAUGAAGGAAGGAAGAGAGGAAGUCGCAGUCUGUCUCCUGAGAAUAGGUAAAGACAGUCAUCUCAUUGACACCUGUAAAUGGAGUGUGUGUAUGUGUGUGUGCGCGCGCAAAAUAAAACGCCUGUCCGUGCGUGUAUUAGAACACAUGCAGCGGUUAAUAAAUAGUCUUCUAGUGUCACCUAGUGGACAUUUUUGCAUGAGAUAAUGACGUGCAAUUCAGCUCUGCCACUGGAGGGCACUGUCAACCAGUUAGCACAUUCUGUAGUCAGGGUUGUGUGACUAUACGGUACCGAUUUUGCUAUAGAUUUGUAUAUAAAAUAUUUAUAAAUUUGACGGUAUUGGAGCCAAAAAAGUUAUUUUUUUAAGGAACCCUGGUGCAGACAACUGUUUUAAUAAAUGGAUAUUGUAGACAGUAAAGCUUGGUUAAAAAAUAUUAAAAUGAAGUACUCAAACUGUAAACCUAAUAUUAAUUAAACUUAAACAGAAUUAUUGGAAUCAACAGUUAUUCACUUGUAUUUUCUUUUUUAAUAUUUAAUAUGUAAAAAGGGCCUUUUUGUAUAAUUUCUAGAGCAUGUUGAGAAAUUAGCAUUUAUGCUCAGUAACAAGUGAGCUCAUGUGUUGCUAUUUCUGGAACAAAGCCAUUUUUUUAUUGUGAAUUUUUUCAAUAUGAGACAUAAAAACCAAAUAAGGAUCAUCAAGAGGAUUUCGAAUGGAGUACUUUCACCAAGUCAGUACUGAUACUUUAAUUAGGUAUCCUUGACACUUCCACGUGUCCUGGACCUGUACUUACUCAAGUGUUGACAAUUCCUGGUCAUGUUGUGUCAUUAUAUCAUUAUGUCAUUAAAAUGUUACCUCUCAUUGCACUCAUCUUCACUCUUUGGAGACACUUGAUAUGAUAGCUCUGGUUAAACAACGUAAUCAUCACUGUCUGGAGUUUUUAUCAACUUAGAGGUUAACGCUGUAAAGACAUGAGUGUACAAAAUGAUGAAAUGUUAAACAGAAGUUUAGUCACAAUAAGGUCACCACCAGAGGGUGGCUGUUGUACCGUAUGAUGCAUCAAAAGUUUACCAGUAGUUAUAACCUGAAAGAUCAGCUGAUGUUAAUCCCUCUUUUAUAGUUUAAAUGACGUUUCAGGAACGUUGCUUUGACUACCCUUUUAUGAACUCAAUCACAGUUUGAAUGUAAUUGUCGCAACACUUCAAUCAAAUGUGACCUUUAGAUUACCCAUUGAUUAUUGUUAUUUUAACUUCGUGGGUGUUUGAAGUAGCUCUGUGAACUGGAGUGAGCGGAAAUGAGAAGUGUUUCAGAGGUUGUUUGACUGCAGACUUGAGACCGUUCACUGCUGUUAAUCCUCCCAAGUACUAAGCACUGCUACUUUUAAUGCCUCCGGUCUCGGCAUGCAAGAUUUGGACAAAGCGAGGUCGGCCCGAACACACCAAAAAUAAAACACAGCCAGAAUCACGCAGUGCAUGUUUAAAUAGAAAUUUAAUUUAUCAUUACUCGUAUUUAAUCCAACUUCAACUCUGGCCUGGUGGACCACAGAGCCAUGACCUCAACCUUCCAGUAGGGGGCACAGCUUGCUCAACCUUCUAAAUGCCAAAAAUAGUCACAGACGUAGCAGUAAAAACUGUGAGUCAGUAUAAAUUGGUCAAUCACAAAGUUUUACUGCUUAUGCCUUGUUUGUUAAUAUAGAUGGAGCUGAAACCAUUCAUUCAUUAUUUUUCCAGAUUUUCCUGGUCAGGGUCAAGGACCAAUCAGUUCUUCGGACGUGUUCGGACCAGUUAUAUACACACACACAUAUAUAUGUAUAUACUUAUUUAUAUAUAUGUGUGUAUAUACCUAUGUUGACUUUACAAUGCAUAUUUGUAAAGAGUGUAAGGCACAGUUCAAGUAAAGAAUCUUCAUAAUUGUCACCUUUGACAUGUAACUCACUUUAAUUACUGUGGAUGAUGUAAAGAUUCAUAAAUAAGUCAGUAAAAACCUAAGAUUCAUCCACUCAUUAUUGCUGCCAAUGGUCAGCACAGUGUUGUGUCAUUAAAUAAGACGUGACAGUCAGUCAGACG
Molecule: long non-coding RNA, 2648 nt
Organism: Cynoglossus semilaevis (tongue sole)
Lineage: Eukaryota; Metazoa; Chordata; Actinopteri; Pleuronectiformes; Cynoglossidae
Exons: 2
Source: RefSeq, a predicted model, not a curated record